Molecule: ribosomal RNA, 464 nt
Filed under: uncultured bacterium
Lineage: Bacteria
Description: partial 16S ribosomal RNA
Rfam family: Bacterial small subunit ribosomal RNA
Source: RNAcentral
GAUGAACGCUGGCGGCGUGCUUAACACAUGCAAGUCGAACGAUGAAGCCCAGCUUGCUGGGUGGAUUAGUGGCGAACGGGUGGGUAACACGUGAGUAACCUGCCCUUAACUCUGGGAUAAGCCUGGGAAACUGGGUCUAAUACCGGAUAGGAGCGUCCACCGCAUGGUGGGUGUUGGAAAGAUUUAUCGGUUUUGGAUGGACUCGCGGCCUAUCAGCUUGUUGGUGAGGUAAUGGCUCACCAAGGCGACGACGGGUAGCCGGCCUGAGAGGGUGACCGGCCACACUGGGACUGAGACACGGCCCAGACUCCUACGGGAGGCAGCAGUGGGGAAUAUUGCACAAUGGGCGCAAGCCUGAUGCAGCGACGCCGCGUGAGGGAUGACGGCCUUCGGGUUGUAAACCUCUUUCAGUAGGGAAGAAGCGAAAGUGACGGUACCUGCAGAAGAAGCACCGGCUAACUACG